CUAAGAAUCUUCCGCAAUGGACGAAAGUCUGACGGAGCGACGCCGCGUGGAUGAUGAAGGCGCUUUGCGUUGUAAAGUCCUUUUAUAGAGGAAGAACCAUGACUGUACUCUAUGAAUAAGCAUCGGCUAAUUACGUGCCAGCAGCCGCGGUAAUACGUAAGAUGCAAGCGUUAUCCGGAAUUACUGGGCGUAAAGGGUGCGCAGGCUGUUAAUUAAGUCGGGUGUGAAAUCCCACGGCUCAACCGUGGAACUGCGCCCGAAACUAAUUAGCUAGAGUCUGGGAGAGGAAGACGGAAUUCCUGGUGUAGGAGUGAAAUCAUAGAUACCAGGAAGAACACCGGUGGCGAAGGCGGUCUUCUGGCCUAAGACUGACGCUAAAGCACGGAAAGUGUGGGGAGC
RNAcentral lists this ribosomal RNA (399 nucleotides) under uncultured bacterium. RNAcentral describes it as "bacterial SSU rRNA". It matches the Rfam family "Bacterial small subunit ribosomal RNA", at positions 355 to 769 of the family's 1533-position model. The record is from RNAcentral.